Molecule: ribosomal RNA, 463 nt
Filed under: uncultured bacterium
Lineage: Bacteria
Description: partial 16S ribosomal RNA
Rfam family: Bacterial small subunit ribosomal RNA
Source: RNAcentral
GACGAACGCUGGCGGCGUGCUUAACACAUGCAAGUCGAACGGAAAGGCCUUUUCGGCGGUACUCGAGUGGCGAACGGGUGAGUAACACGUGGGUGAUCUGCCCUGCACUCUGGGAUAAGCCUGGGAAACUGGGUCUAAUACCGGAUAGGACCGCACUUUAGUGUGUGUGGUGGAAAGUUUUUUCGGUGUAGGAUGAGCCCGCGGCCUAUCAGCUUGUUGGUGGGGUAAUGGCCUACCAAGGCGGCGACGGGUAGCCGGACUGAGAGGUUGGUCGGCCACAUUGGGACUGAGAUACGGCCCAGACUCCUACGGGAGGCAGCAGUGGGGAAUAUUGCACAAUGGGCGCAAGCCGGAUGCAGCGACGCCGCGUGGGGGAUGACGGCCUUCGGGUUGGAAACUCCUUUCGCCAGGGACGAAGCGUUUUGUGACGGUACCUGGAGAAGAAGCACCGGCUAACUACAUG